Molecule: transfer RNA, 73 nt
Filed under: Ovis aries (sheep)
Lineage: Eukaryota; Metazoa; Chordata; Mammalia; Artiodactyla; Bovidae
Rfam family: tRNA
About the family: Transfer RNA (tRNA) molecules are approximately 80 nucleotides in length.
Source: Rfam by way of RNAcentral
UCCCUCAUGGUCUAGUGACUAAGAUUUUGCAUUCCCAAUGCAGGGGACCCAGGUUCAAUCCCUGGUCAGGGAG